ACGAACGCUGGCGGCGUGCUUAACACAUGCCAGUCGAACGGAAAGGCCCUGCUUUUGUGGGGUGCUCGAGUGGCGAACGGGUGAGUAACACGUGAGUAACCUGCCCUUGACUUUGGGAUAACUUCAGGAAACUGGGGCUAAUACCGGAUAGGAGCUCCUGCUGCAUGGUGGGGGUUGGAAAGUUUCGGCGGUUGGGGAUGGACUCGCGGCUUAUCAGCUUGUUGGUGGGGUAGUGGCUUACCAAGGCUUUGACGGGUAGCCGGCCUGAGAGGGUGACCGGCCACAUUGGGACUGAGAUACGGCCCAGACUCCUACGGGAGGCAGCAGUGGGGAAUAUUGCACAAUGGGCGGAAGCCUGAUGCAGCAACGCCGCGUGCGGGAUGACGGCCUUCGGGUUGUAAACCGCUUUCGCCUGUGACGAAGCGUGAGUGACGGUAAUGGGUAAGGAAGCACCGGCUAACUACGUG
RNAcentral lists this ribosomal RNA (467 nucleotides) under uncultured bacterium. RNAcentral describes it as "partial 16S ribosomal RNA". It matches the Rfam family "Bacterial small subunit ribosomal RNA", at positions 29 to 507 of the family's 1533-position model. The record is from RNAcentral.